GCAUGGUUUUGAUUUGAAAGGCGCUUUCGGGUGUCGCUGAUGGAUGGACCCGCGGUGCAUUACCUACCUGCGGAGGGAACGCGUCACCAUUGCCACAAUGCCUAACCGACCUGAGAGGGCGAUCGAUCACGUUGGGACUGAGACACGGACCUAACUCCUACUGUAGGCACCCGAACGGAAUCUUCCCCUGUGCACCAUGGUCUGACCGACCCACGCCGCAAGAUCGAUCAAUGUAUUCGGAUCGUGAUACUCUGAUGUGAGAAAGGAACUCGGAUGACAUCAACUGUUCCUCCCUUGACCGCAUCUAACCAGAAAGCCACGGCUAACUACGUGCCAUCAACCUUGGGAAUACGCUCGCGGCGAGCGUUGUCCGGAGUUAUUGGUCGUAAACUGAGCGCAGGCGGCCUCUUAAGUCUGAUGUGAAAUCCCCCGGCUCAACCGACUAAGGGUCAUUGGAAACUGGUAUACUUGACUGCAUAACAAGACACUGCAAUUCCAUGUGACGAGAUGAAAUGCGUAGAUAUAUGG
RNAcentral lists this ribosomal RNA (528 nucleotides) under Enterococcus sp. Its description in RNAcentral is "bacterial SSU rRNA". It matches the Rfam family "Bacterial small subunit ribosomal RNA", at positions 188 to 701 of the family's 1533-position model. The record is from RNAcentral. Lineage: Bacteria; Bacillati; Bacillota; Bacilli; Lactobacillales; Enterococcaceae.